AAGGAAUAUUGCUCAAUGGGAGAAAUCCUGAAGCAGCAACGCCGCGUGGAGGAUGAAGGGUCUAUGACUUGUAAACUCCUGUAAAGAAGGAAAAAAUUCCCAUUAGAUGGGAGAUGAUGAUACUUCUGGAGUAAGCCCCGGCUAACUACGUGCCAGCAGCCGCGGUAAUACGUAGGGGGCAAGCGUUGUCCGGAUUUACUGGGUGUAAAGGGUGCUCAGGCGGAUUUGUAAGUCAGAGGUGAAAUCUUACAGCUUAACUGUGAAACUGCCUUUGAUACUGCAAGCCUAGAGUAUGGAAGAGAGUGAUGGAAUAUCUGGUGUAGCAGUGAAAUGCGUAGAUAUCAGAUAGAACACCAAUGGCGAAGGCAGUCACUUGGUCCAUUACUGACGCUAAAGCACGAAAGCGUGGGUAGCAAACA
This 419-nucleotide ribosomal RNA is filed under the name uncultured bacterium. Its description in RNAcentral is "bacterial SSU rRNA". It matches the Rfam family "Bacterial small subunit ribosomal RNA", at positions 356 to 774 of the family's 1533-position model. The record is from RNAcentral.